Molecule: long non-coding RNA, 878 nt
Filed under: Salvia miltiorrhiza (redroot sage)
Lineage: Eukaryota; Viridiplantae; Streptophyta; Magnoliopsida; Lamiales; Lamiaceae
Description: long non-coding RNA (SMIL_LNC001518)
Source: RNAcentral
UAUUUUAUUUUAACGAAGGCUAUUAGUAAUCAACCAAUUUCCGAUAAUUUUUCCGUCUCUCUGGAUCUAUUCCAUCGCUUCUCUCUCACACACUCUGCAUCCUUUGCAACUACAAGGGACUUUUUUCACAAGUCCCAAAUCAUCAUCUCAAAAUCUUGCCAAGAAUGGAGGAAGGCGAAGAGAAUCUUAUUUUCUCAUAUGAUGGUUUCUUUGAUUCACUUAUAAGAAUAUGAUAAUAUGUUUGUGUUUCAUUCCCUUUCCCCACCUCCUUAAGUAUGUUGCUCAUCUAGAUAAUACUAUGAUGAAUGUGUUUGAAAGAUCUGCUUAUAUAUAUAUUAUGUUACCAUUGUAUUUGGAAGGACAGGGACAGGAACAUAUAUGGUGAGUGUUUUGAAUUUGUUGAGCUGAAAUAUGUUGUUGAUACUCAUAGAUUUAAUUUGAUGAAUAAGCUAUUAUUGGACAAAUGAAUUAUUAAGCUAUCUUGGAGUAACACAACAUCCUUAUUUCUUAGAGCAUCCACACUUGCGAGCUAGCAUCUCUGGCUCUCAGGUGGGCCCCUCUGUCCGAGCCACCGAGCUCUGCAGCGCGUGAGCCCCAACUCACAUCGUGGCUCGCCCCAUGCCCCCCGCGGUGUUUGCAUGCGCCUCUCUCUCUCCUCUCUCGCAUCCAGGUGCACGCCCCACACCCCAGCAGUAGUGUGCCCCACCGUGAAUACGUACUCUUAGUGGCUUCGAGUCUCUCUCUCUUAUAUAUAAUUGCACGUGCAAGAGCAAGAGCUUCUCUCUUUAUUUUUCCCCUAAAUUACAUGGGAAUUAAUAUUGGCACUUCUGUAGUUUAAUAUCUAUACAAGUCGAUUUGCUUGUAUAGUUAACUCAUAC